This is a long non-coding RNA of Oncorhynchus gorbuscha (pink salmon), 2898 nucleotides long. RefSeq lists it as uncharacterized. The record is from RefSeq and is a predicted model, not a curated record. The transcript has 3 exons. NCBI's taxonomy places the organism in Eukaryota, Metazoa, Chordata, Actinopteri, Salmoniformes, Salmonidae.
GUUGGAUGCGCGCUGUGUUAAGCAGUGCGGCUUGGUUGGGUUGUGUUUCGGAGGACGUAUAGCUUUCGACCUUCGUCUCUCCCGAGGCCAUAUGGGAGAUGUAGCGAUGAGACAAGAUCGUGAGUUGGCUUCAAACCAAGACAGGCCAUUCCUUUAUCAUUUCUUUAAAAUGUUCAGAUAACCACCUGUGUGUGUGUGUCCUUUCCCUCUCAAUUCUGCAGGACUACCUUCUGUAUUCAUCCAGGUGACUGUCACAGCUGCAACAUAACUAUUCAACAUAAUAGACUGAGUAGUUAUUGGACGUUGAGUGUUUCUUUGAACUAUGAAUACUGCUCCAGUGUUAAUGUUAUGGUGUGGCAUUGGGUGUGCCGUGUUUUGGUAGCUUUCGUUAUACUCAGGGGACCUGACUCAGACACAGUGUGGCAGCUUUACCCAUCUGGUGGCCUGUAAUUGGCUAUAAUAAGAAUGGUGGCAACAGAGACAAUGGGAGGAUGUCCUGCAAAGAGCUAAUCUUUUUUUCCAUACUUCCUUAUUGGCGCGUGAGUGUCAUUUACGGUUUAGGUUCACAUGCCACUUACCGGAGGUCCUCCUGUGUGUUCCAGUCUCCUAACCCCUGAAGCAACGCUGCCACCACUGCUGCACCUUCAGCCCAGACAAAACGUUAUACUCCGCUAGCGUCUCACGUAAACAAGGAUGGACAUUUCAAAUUCCUUCAUUAGAGUGUGACCACUUACGUUGUUAAUCACAUGCCAUUUAUCCUACUUCCACUUGUGUGUUCCAUGCUGCCUGUUGCCGGAGCUCCGGAGACUUUGCUUAACUGACUACAGUGAAGCUGCAGGCCGCUGUUAUCACCAGGCUAAGUUCCCACACUUUCUUAGCAGAGAGGAUCCGAGAUGGACAAACUUAGCAGAAAAUCAGUGGUACAUUAGUAUAGCAUAUUUAUUAAAUGCAAAGAUUCUGUUUUUUAUAUUUUACUCUCUACAUUUGGUUAUGUUUUGUCUGACUAGUACUCCCUACUGUCUUUCAGUUGGCUUUAGUUCUGCAUUGACUGAACACAUCUUUAUCAUCGAGUUUAGUUUUAGCACUACAUACAUACAGUACAUUUGAAAAGUUCUGUAUUAUGGUGUCCCUGUGUGUCUGCUCCCACUGUCACUGAGGUCGCUGAGCUGUUGGUGAGAAACAGGGCAUCGGUCAACGUAGCUGACCUGUGGAAUUUCACCCCUCUGAGGCUGCAGCCAAGGGAAAAUAGCUAAGAGAUCUGCUGAUGCUCAAGAACUGUGAAGGAAUGGUGAAGGAGGGAGACACGGGCAUCCAGGACAAGCUGGAAGGAGAUGCUGCUCUCCUUGAGCACAGGGCUGACGACAACGCUCAGGUCAAAGGAGGCUCACCUCCCUGUGCAACACAGCCUGAUAUGGGCACAUGCACAUUGCGGCCCUCCUGAUCAAGUACCAUGUCCGUAUGAAUGCCACAGACAAGUAGUUAGCCUUCAACCUGCUCCACAUGGCAGCUCAGAAUGUAAACAUAGUGAAUGUAUGCAUGUUAUCUCUCUAUUUGAACAAGUCUUCGACUUGCAAUGACGUAGUCUGGUCACAAUAAUUCUAAUCCAAUAUAUUUUGACACACAUGGCUAGAGAAACUCCUUAUCACCCAGUAACUCUCCAUCUGAUCAAGUUCUCCUCCUUCCUCAUACUGAAGAUAAUGUAUAUGUGCCCUGUUGAUAGACACUAUGCCACGGGAAGCGGGAUCACCAGCUCAAACUGUCCAAUCUCUGGAGUGGACAACAGACAUUUCUCAAAUCUGUGCUUGACUCGGCCCAUGUGCCACCCAGCCAAAUGGACUAAUGCAUGAAUCAUUUAGCUUAACAUUUUGUGUGUAUUUCAUACAAGCUUGCAGGUUGUUAUUUCUUUGCAACUCACAGCAAAUGUGUAAUCAUAUUCUGUAAUCGUGUCCCUCAGGGCUACAAUGUUAAAAGUCAGACUCCAUUCCCUUAUACACUGAAGUGAACUGAUGUACAGUGGACCAGCAGCAGUCAGUUUGUAACCUGACACCACUGGAGGUCUUGAUGGUAUUUGUGAACAAGAAAGAAAACAAGUAGGCACUCAGUGAAAGCACAAAGCUUUUGGGAACUAUUUACAGGUAACAUAUAUAAAAUAAUACAUAUAAGUAGGACCAGAUCAGCCUAUAGUUUACAACAACAUGAACGUGACCAUAUCCCUGGCCAACGCCAGGGAGCUCCCUCAUCCCAAUACCACUCCUCCUCCUGUAUGUCCUACUCGCCCAUUAGGAGUGCCCACUGAAGCUCCCUUGUCUUCAUUUGUUCAGGGUUUGGGAGGGCACUGGGUAAGGUUCGCAUGCUUCCCAGCCAAAACACGCCACCUCAUCGGCGAUUGGUCAACAAUAGAGACUCUUUAAUGAAGUGCCUGAUAUUGUUCAAUGAGAGACGACUCGAGAAAUACUGCACCAAACAUCCUAGUCAGAUGCAGAAUUGUGCGACUAUGAUCUCCUCGGCAAAAAUGUUGUGCCCGAACAGCCGGGAAAAAACUUAACGAAGUCCAAAACGAUCACAAAAUGUUGUCAUAAUAUACAGUGCCUUGCAAAAGUAUUCGGCCCACUUGAAUUUUGCGACCUUUUGCCACAUUUCAGGCUUCAAUCAUAAAGAUAUAAAACUGUAUUUUUUUGUGAAGAAUCAACAACAAGUGGGACACAAUCGUGAAGUGGAACGACAUUUAUUGGAUAUUUCAAACUUUUUAAACAAAUCAAAUACUAAAAAUUUGGGCGUGUAAAACGACUCCUAUAUCGACAUAACCUGAAAGGCCGCUCAGCAAGGAAGAAGCCACUGCUCCAAAACCACCAUAGAAAAUCCAGACUACGGUUUGCAACUGCACAUGGGGAGAAAGAA